Molecule: ribosomal RNA, 738 nt
Filed under: uncultured bacterium
Lineage: Bacteria
Description: bacterial SSU rRNA
Rfam family: Bacterial small subunit ribosomal RNA
Source: RNAcentral
GUAGUCCACACCGUAAACGAUGAAUACUAGGUGUAGGUUAUGUCAUGUAAUCUGUGCCGUCGCAAACGCAAUAAGUAUUCCACCUGGGGAGUACGGCCGCAAGGUUGAAACUCGAAGGAAUUGACGGGGGCCCGCACAAGCAGUGGAGUAUGUGGUUUAAUUCGAAGCAACGCGAAGAACCUUACCAGGGCUUGACAUAUGCAGGAAUAUUCUAGAGAUAGAAUAGCUCUUCGGAGUCUGCAUACAGGUGGUGCAUGGUUGUCGUCAGCUCGUGUCGUGAGAUGUUGGGUUAAGUCCCGCAACGAGCGCAACCCCUGCUUUUAGUUGCCAGCACGUAAUGGUGGGAACUCUAGAAGGACUGCCGGUGAUAAAUCGGAGGAAGGUGGGGACGACGUCAAAUCAUCAUGCCCUUUAUGUCCUGGGCUACACACGUACUACAAUGGCUGUAACAGAGGGAAGCAAGAUAGUGAUAUUAAGCAAAACCCAAAAAGCAGUCUCAGUUCGGAUUGAAGGCUGAAAUUCGCCUUCAUGAAGCCGGAAUUGCUAGUAAUGGCAGGUCAGCAUACUGCCGUGAAUACGUUCCCGGGCCUUGUACACACCGCCCGUCACACCAUGAGAGUUGGGGAUACCCGAAGCCUGUGAGCUAACAGUAAUGGAGCAGCAGUCGAAGGUAGAAUCAAUGAUUGGGGUGAAGUCGUAACAAGGUAGCCGUAUCGGAAGGUGCGGCUGGAUCACCUC